Non-coding RNA from Parelaphostrongylus tenuis, 73 nucleotides. The record is from the annotation of a GenBank genome assembly. NCBI's taxonomy places the organism in Eukaryota, Metazoa, Nematoda, Chromadorea, Rhabditida, Metastrongylidae.
GCCUCGGUGGUGUAGUGGUAGAGCACGCGUCCCCGGAUAGGAUGAAACGUGGGUUCGAUUCCCGCCUGAGGCU